Carica papaya (papaya) is the source of this 1497-nucleotide non-coding RNA. Lineage: Eukaryota; Viridiplantae; Streptophyta; Magnoliopsida; Brassicales; Caricaceae. The record is from RefSeq and is a predicted model, not a curated record.
ACGUCGCCUUGGAAUAGAACCUGCUCAGGAUAUAUCUUUUCUGAAAGUUUGGAGUGAAGUUGAACCAUUCAAUGCGUUUAUAGGACCUUAUUGGUCUCUUCGAGCUGCCAUGGGCCCAAUUUUGGAAACAUUAAUCUUGCUUGAUAGAUUGUUAUUCUUCCAGGAACAAGAAAGUUUAGUUGAAGCAUUCAUGUUACCGAUUUUUGAUCCUGCAUUAUCACCAAGAAAUGUUGCAAUAAUUGCUACAAAAGUUAAUACAGAAAUGAUCAACUGACCAAGUAUAGUGGCUUUUUGCUAAAGAAAAGUCUUUCAAUUUACAGUCUUUUAUGAAAGCAUUGAACCUCUCCAUCGAUGUGGUCAUUCUAUUCCUCCCGGCUCUCAUGUGGAUAUCUACAAGCAUACAGUAACUUGGAUUAUUAAUAUUAGCUUUUCAGUGUAUACCAUAAUUUGUGAAGUUUACUCCUAUUGUGAUAUCUUAUCAUGCCGUAACCUCUAUAAAUUUUGGUGAUAAAUGCAUAAUAAUUCAUGAUAGUGUAAUAACAUUUUUUAAUAAUGGAGUGAUUAUCAUACUACAAGUAUGGAUAACUGGAUUUCUGAUAGGAUGUUACAGAUAAAAGUUUGUUUCAUGAUUAUUUGGAAUAAAUUAAGAAUUUUGUGAAUUCAUUUGAAAAUUCACAUUUAAUUCAACUAGAACAUAGUGAAAUCUUGUUCAAAAUAAUAAACGUUGAGUAGCAAAAUCUGAAAUAAUGCAUUUCAAAUAUCACAAAAGUAUCAUUGUGUUACGACUCCUUCGAAGUUUUUUGUUUCUCAUAAAAGUAUCCUUUUCUUUUGAAGGAAGGAAUUAAGAAAAUCCGAGAUUGAAUAAAGCUCUAUCUCCAUAGGAAAGAGCUGUAGACAUAGAGUAGUAUAUCAUUUAUAGAUCAGCUAAGAAUACAUGUAGACGGGAACUGUGAUAAAGAAAGCUGGAGGAGCUACUUGUCAUUUCUGGUAUGGCUGCUGGAAUGAAUUACAAAGUUGAUUUUUCCCUUUCUGGGUUCUUGAUUCUUCCACGAUGGUGAUAGGGAUGUGGCUUUAUAUGCAUAAUGGCAUGAAAAACCUUUGCUGUCAGUGAAAAGAGUCCCAUUAAACCUUGUCCCAGUACAGACAAAGUACAGUUCAACAGAAGACUCUACUUUGUAUGGUUUCAAAUAUGUACUCUUUCGCUCUCAAUCCACUUUGCUUUCUCCUCUAAAGUGACUCAUGAUUGUUCAUGUUUACACCAUUUUUUGUUUAAGAUUAACUCAUCCAUGUUUACACCACAAGACUCUACUUAGAGCUUAGUUUCGUUUUCAUAUAGAGUGAUGUGCUUAUCGUUUUUGAAAUUAUUGGGGAACAUAGACUGCAACCAGUGACUUGAAUUUUGACUGAGUUUGCAGAUAAGGUUCCCUUCUAAUUCCUUUCAUGGAUCACUAGGAAUCUAAACCUUUCUAAAUACCAUUAUUGAUUUCUUCUGUUGAC